Long non-coding RNA from Equus caballus (horse), 1601 nucleotides. The record is from Ensembl. NCBI's taxonomy places the organism in Eukaryota, Metazoa, Chordata, Mammalia, Perissodactyla, Equidae.
CUGGUCACAUUUCCUGAAAGACAUUCAUUCAGUUAGACAUUUUUUACUAGCAAAAUUUAAUUAAUUCUUGAUGAUAGAAUUUCAAGUUUAACAGGGUUCUUCUGGAAAUACCAUCAGAAUCUACAGUUGACUCUAAUAGGACUGCAGGUGAGCAAAAGGGUCAUAUUUUGGGCAUGCAGAUCUUUUCACUUGGCUUAAAUCAUACAGAAGGACUGACUUUGAUCAUCAUGAAUUAAAAUAAACUAUACAUUGAGAAGAGGAAAUUAGGUUAUUUUCAUGGCCUGGUUGCUGGAGUAGUUCGUAAAUAAAAUGAAUUAUUAGGUUUUUAAAAUAUCAGAGUUUUGUGCCAUAUCCAAGGAUUCUUGACCAUGUUACAGAACAACACUGCAAUAUCAUAAAAAAGUAUUGUGCCACUGGCAUAAACUCAAAGGGCAUUUCUUUAAAAAGCAACCCCUUGGGACUGUGGGUGAGAAUCUCUCUCUCACUCCGCUUUUGGCUACUGUGACAUUGGCCAUCACAUCUGCUCGUCAAGUCCCAAGCGAUAAGUCACUCUUGGUCUCUAAGGACAGAGGAUUUUACAUAAAUGUGCCUCAUUUACUAGCCAUUUUUCCUGCAUUGAUUAGUCACCAUUUUAUUUUGAAAACAGUGCUAAUGGCUAAGGUUAAUCCUGAGCGGUAGUGGAAAGUAACAAAAUGAACAUACUCCCGCUUUUUAAAGUUGUCCUACUGAGCACAUUAGCUUUUCGUGACUUGUGGCAUAUAAGAGAAUUGUUCAGAGGCAAGGCUGAGACUUUGUGUUUUGAUCUUUUACAUUUCCCUUUUAUUCUUUAGUUCUUAGAAUGGUAACAAAUUAUAUGUUAUUGAUGAUUUUACAGUGUGUAUAUUGGCCAGUGCAAGUAAUCCUACACUUGUAUUGAUCAGCAGCGAUGGCUCAUAAUCUAUAUGCAGCUGAAUAAAACCCUGAGAGGAGAGCUGGGAAGCCAUCUGUUUCCCUUGCUGCAGUGUGGGGAGAGCCACGACAAUUGUCGGGAGGACCUAAAGCGGAAAGAGAGAGAGGGAUGGAAGAUAAAGAAGAUAUGAAAAUUAAGGAUUCUCUAACAGACUUACACCAGCAGUCCAGCUGUGCAGGAGAAAGGCUGUUAUCUAGAAACCUGAGAAAUAGAUGAAAAAGACCAAGGUGGGAAAAUGAAGGCAGGGAGAUCCCAACGUUCUUGGAGGCUAAAGGACCCCAAGACUGUGAACAACUUAACCGUGGGAGAUGAGUUGUGCUCAGAGUUCCUGGAUUCAGUAAAUGCUCAACAGAGGGCUGAAGAAUUGAGUGACUGAAUGAAUGUCACUUGACUAUUUUACUCCUACCUGGCAGCAAUAGGUCAAUGGACAGGAGAGAAAAGACCAGGCUGGACAUGUGCCCGAGAGGGGCAGGCACACUAGGUAAGUCCAGAGAAGCCCUGAGGAUGACAGUUUUCAGGAGGCUCAGGGGUUGCGGGGAGACCCCCGGUCCAGGAGAUCUCAAGGAGAAUGCAGCAGAGGCUCAAUGUGUCCUACAGCCAGAUCAGGCUGAGGGGUGGCCUUGUCAUGGGGGCAGGUGGAGCGUGCCGGGAG